Non-coding RNA from Dictyocaulus viviparus (bovine lungworm), 72 nucleotides. The record is from Rfam. NCBI's taxonomy places the organism in Eukaryota, Metazoa, Nematoda, Chromadorea, Rhabditida, Metastrongylidae.
UCCGUUGUGGUCUAGUGGUUAGGAUUUACGGCUCUCUCCCGUAAGGACGGGGUUCGAUUCUUGGGAACGGAA